UGGACCACUGAGCCGGCUCCUU
This 22-nucleotide microRNA is filed under the name Schistosoma japonicum. RNAcentral's name for it is "miRNA-3096". Lineage: Eukaryota; Metazoa; Platyhelminthes; Trematoda; Strigeidida; Schistosomatidae. The record is from RNAcentral.